Molecule: long non-coding RNA, 10868 nt
Organism: Gasterosteus aculeatus aculeatus (three-spined stickleback)
Lineage: Eukaryota; Metazoa; Chordata; Actinopteri; Perciformes; Gasterosteidae
Source: RefSeq, a predicted model, not a curated record
CGUCUUUUAUUCCAUCCCGGGCUCCAUUUUUGUGUCACUUCUCGGGACGAGCAUAUUAGAGCAGAGUUCCGGACGAAGAAAAGAGAAGUGAUCGGAAGGAAAGACGCCCCACGCCGGAUAAAGAUCAGCUGUUGGAUGCAGGCCUGUGACAAUACAGUAAGUCAGAGUACGUUUUCUAUUGAACUAUGCAAAAGUAUCUUGUACUUUACGGUGGUACAUGCAAUGCAAUGCAAUGCAAUGCAAGGAGGGUUUGAACAUGAGUAACACAGACACUAAGAGCCGGGUGAUGUCGAAGCUGAAGGAGAAAAAUGAUACAGAAAGACAGAUCAUUUCCUAAAUCGUACCAAUCAGUAGGUCCCCCCCCCCUCUCCCGUCUCGCCCACACUGGGGACUCAAAUGUUUUGUCAGGGUCAUUGUGUGGUGUCAGCGUUUUGGCACAGCGGAGUGAUUUAAGGGGGCAUGGCGUGCUUGUCAUGCCCCCACGCCCGACGGUUUCAGUCUGCCCUCAGUGUGUGCAAACAAAUAAAGCGCAGGGGCCUUUUUAAUUAGCUCCGGGGUCCAGAUUGACAGCUUGUAGUGGCACAGAUAGCACAGUAACCACCUAUUACUCUAAAUAUUUGGCGCGUUGCACAGUUGAAACCAUAAGCGUGGGCCCUCUGGAGGCUCGUUAGUGGGUGGAAAAUGUAAAACAAGUCACAGCGUGUGUUUGUUGCCUGGCAAUAUUAUAAAAACCAUACAACAGAUAUUUAGUAUGAUUCCUUGUAUUUUGGGGUCUUUCGGGGUCUUUCUAGAGACAACAAAACAACAAUUUUUUUUUAUUAUUAGGCAAAGGAAAAAAAAGUUGCAACCUUUCUCAUUACCAAUUUAAAAAUGCUUUAUUGUGUCACAGAGCAUUAGCACUGCUCGCCCACACAAGGACACCUUAAAACAAUGUUGAUGUUGACCUUAUGGUUAUAAAGGUCAUCCUAAAUCACUAUAGCCACAACUGGAGAGGGACAGAGCUAAUGUCUGGGAUUGAGCUGUAAAUCUGAAUUUAAGUCCAGAAAAAGAUAUACAAUUGAAAUAAUUGGCUUAAACAGACAGAAAUAUGUGCAGGUUCCUUUUAGUCACAUUCUAAUUAACUGUAGACAUUUUAUGACAUGAUCUCAUUUGAAAAAAAUUAUAAAUAAUGAUGGUUAAUAUUAGUCAAACAAUAUAACAUCACAAAACACUUCAUCCGCUUUUCAAAAACCAAAUGUAACCUGAAAAUGGUUGAAUUAUUUGCACUGACAUCGAGGCAGGAGUCCCAGUCGGAUACUGUGGAACAACCUUUAGCUUUUAAUCUUAACGUCACGCCCAAUAAUUGUUUGUCAUUGAAUCUGUGUGAUCCCUCGCUAAUCCAUGUCUUCUUAGGUCCUUACAGCUUUAUUACGCUCUGCAUCAAAGGCGAGCCGGGGGCGGAUGAAGAAUAGAAAUCCCAUGACGUGUUGGAUAUCACGUCUCAGUUUGUCCUGUAAAACUCUUCGAGAACAACACAUUACUCCAAUUAUCCCCUUUGUGUUUUUUGCCUUGUUGCCCGAUGGUCGUGUAAGUAUUUGUUAGAGCAGAGCUGUUUCCAUCUUUCCCCGUCUGCUGAUAUUGUGUUGUGUUUCUCCACCGGGCAAGUAACAACAUGCUGCUUCCUGAUCUCUCUCCACACUGAAUAAUGUGUCAUACUUACAAAAAAAUCCUUAGAGGGGGUGAAUAUGAAUUGAUGAGACACUAAACUGAUAACAUGUUUCAUUUAGUCAACUUCCAUUAUUAAUUAAAUCAUAAUAGCUCUUAGGAUGUUUUCUUCAAGUCUGAUCAUGAGCCGUUUUUUUUUCUUCAUUUUUUUUUAAAUCUCAGGCUAUGAAGGUCAUAAUUCAUAGUGCGACUGUGUGAGGGGCAUAUGUGACACUGAUGGGUCUCGUGUUUAUUUAAUGCCGACUGAAUGACGGUGGUCAGGCCUUCGGCUUCCUCUGCUCUUAAAAUGUAAUUAUGGGGGAGUCCUUCCCUGCAGCAGUUUGACAGCUCUGCUGAACUUUUCAUGAUAUAUGCUGAAUCACGAUGCAUUAUAAAUAUCUAGUAUAACCUGUUAUUUACUAUUAUUUUAAGGAUUUGUUACAUUUUUUUGAUUUGCUUACAACACAAGCAGCUAUACAAUGUAGUUUCUGAUGACUAUAAAUAAGUACCUUCUCAAAUCUUAAGUGAAAUAGAGUUUAUGAUUUUUGGUAAAAUAAAAUUAAUUGAGGCUCUGAGUGAAAAAAACCUGAAAAAGCUCUGAAGCAGAAACAUUGUAGACUUCCCAAGUUAUGAACUGCAUUCGUGAUCCAACGGAACUUAAAUACGUUUUGCCAGAAGAGCUACUGGAUGAACGUUAUAAUUAUAACCGUUUAUGUAAAGAAAAUGAUUAUUAUUCUGACGUAACUGGGGGUUGGUUCAAGAAUAAUAAAUUCCUCCUCAUAUAUAACACUUCUAAUUGUUUUUUUAAAAUCGAAAACACCUCCCAAUGUGAACAUUUUUGAAUAACUACGACGUGUAAUGUCGGAACUUUGUGACGUGUUAAAGGGAAGGCGAUUAUUUCUUUUUGCGUCUGAGUUUGCGGAUUAUGCAGUGACCUCAUUUCACAGGAAUGCCUGUGCACAAGGGUCGGGGCAGAAUGUUGAUUUGCGGAUUUCAUCCUUUCAUCUCUCACCUCGGUGCUUCUGCAGCGGCCGGCCUGGAGGAGAGCGCGUUGCGUUUGAGGCCUCAGACAAAAGCGGCCUAAUUACGGUCAAUAAAGUCCCCGUAUGCGGGUUAUCGCAACACGUCGCCGCGUGCGUGAAAUACACCCAAUUACAUUAUAAUCCAACGGGAAAAUAGCUGCACAAUGAAGGCGAGUGAACCCGUUAUGGAUUAAAUGCUCAUUUUCCAAUUUUAUCCACAUUGCCUCUAAUAAACAAUUAUUUCUACAAUAAAACGAAGUUAGCGGACAACAUUUAAAUAUUAUUCAAUUUCCUGAAAAUUAAUUUCCAUAACUUACUUUAAAAGUAGUUUUUGACAUGUUUCAGUCAGGCUUAGAAAAAUGCCGACGAAUCAAAUAGCAAAUAGCUAUUAAAUUCUUAUGACGUGUGCAUACAAGGAUAUUUGAUAAAGUUAUGGUGCUUUUUAGUUAUUUAGUAAUUAUUGAUUUUUUUCCCACGCCAGUGGUUUGUGCUGCGGCCUGUAUUUGUUGUGAGUGAAUUGAAUGGGUUAAAAGGGCCAAAACAAAAAAAGUAAAGGGUGGGUGUUCUAAUUACAAUUGGGCUGAUAAAAACUAAAGAAUUAAUACUAUUAUGAGCCAAAUAAGCCAUUUGUAGAUAGCGAGAAUUGUUUCAAAACAGCUCACGGUUUAGUAAAACAACCUCUUAGCCAAUAUAAAUGGGAUGUUUCUAAUUUCAAUGAGUUUAUUUAGUCUGCUGUUCAUCCUCAACGUUUUCUUGCUUGUUCUGUAAUGGACGACUGAGGACAUCAGGUCCACAGGAAAAGAGAAAUGUUUCAAUUAGUUAUUUUCCAGUUUUGCUUAUUGUCUCUCUUGAGCCCAAAAAUAAAUUUGCAAUAUUUGUUUUACAACAAAUAUCAGACAAUAUAAUAACCUUUUCCUUCAGUCAUGAUCAUUUUAAUAUAAUAUUAACAGUCUUAUUGUACUAUUAUUGUAUUGUGAAUUUGAAUAAUUUGUUUGAAUUAUGUUUUAGAAUAAGGCAAAAUAAUUAUAAAAUGAUGAUAUGAAGAUAUGAAGAAUUUUUCAUAUGAUUACUGAUUUAUGUCAUCUUACCACGCAGAUUGUUAAAAUAUUCACUCGCGCUCAUUUCAAACAAACAAAAAAAAGUGGACAUUGUAAUCAAAGCAUCAGCCUAUUGUGUGUGUCUGUGUGCGUGAUUGUUUCCCAUGCACGUCAGGAAGAACCAGCGAGAGAAAGAGUGAGAGGUCGGACUGGGAGUGUCGGCGCAGGAUUUACGAGUGUGUAAUGAAGCAUCUCUGAUGUUGACAGACUAAACAGAGACUCUGUCAGCUUACACACACACACACACACCACACACACACACACACACACACACACACACACACACACACACACACACACACACACACACACAUACUGCUCCAGCCUUGAGAAUAUGUCAGUGUCAAUAUGCAAAAGCGAAGGUAAUUGACGUAUAAUAUUGUUGUGCAUGCUGCAAGCAUAUAACCAAUUCCCCAAUCUUAAAAUCAACAGCAGUCUGGACAGUGUGUUGUCGUCAAUACUGUACAUACAGGUAACAGGUUAAACCCUAUCAAUGGCCAUUAGCACAUUAUCUAAUAAUCAAUGGUUUUAAACGGCAAUUUCUCCAUUUGUGCCUCAUAAAUGUUUCUUCUGACACGGUGUUGUCUCUUCAUUAAGCUAAUCUUAAAAAAAAACGAUCCUUGCAAAUACCGUGAGGGGUCGAGGGGAACAUGUUGCUGCGCUAUGCAGCCGGCCGGGUUUGGACGAGGUUCUUCGUUCCCUCUUCAGCUCUGUUUUGACUUGCAUGCCAUCUCUCUGACUACCAGUGAAGCGCCAAACACCCCUGGAGUGGAUUCUGAGCAUACCAAGGAAGAGAUGCCUUUGAAAGGACAGAUGUUCCCGGGCUCAACCUACACCUCCUACCCUGACCGCCAGCCUCCUACCAUUGUAUAUUUGUUCUUGCUCUAUAAAUAACUGGCCGGUGAAGCACAGAAAAAUGUAACUGAUGUGCAGCUGACCUCCGGGCCUCUAAUCUCUGAGAGUGAGAGGGACUCUGGAGAGAAGUUGGUUGAUACAGUCAUGGUAAAUGGGUUUGGGCGAGGGGGACGCAGUGAAACCCACCCAUUUGCGUCCACAUAAGGACUAGUCUCAAUGUCUGGACUGGCUCAGCUGUCUUAUGUAACAGCAGUGUGUAGUCCUGGCGCAUGAGGCGUGAUGGGCUCGAGCCAGUUCAGCCACAUUAUCCAAAAAUAUACGGGGGUUAUUCAAAGGGGAAUGUACAGUUAUUUCAUGUUCUUAAUAUUUUAGUUUGGGGUUUUCUUUCUUUUUUAAAAAUCUCAAUGUGGGUGGUAGAGGAAAGCCUAUUGGUAGUUUUACAAAAAACAACUUAUCGCCUAUCUUCAUUUAUUUCAAACUCUCAAGAACCCCAAAAAGGAUUUUAAUUACCAUUUGGCGAUUUCCCAUUUUAGAAACAGCCUUUUUUUUAAUCCCUAGUUUGUGUUUGCCCCGUUGCUGUGGCUGCGGGGAUGAAUGGGUGAUUGUUCCAGGGCCCUUGCGACAACUCUCCUGGGGCCCAUCAAUUCACAGAGGCUCCUGGAACAUCAGGUCACGGAGAACCCCGCUCUGAAGCUGCAGCUGAUUUUGCCCCAGUUAGAGCUCGGGACCUCCAGGGCGCACAGCUGGGUUCCUUAAAAAAGCCCCGCUGAACGGUUUUAGAAACACUGCAUCUCCUCUUACCCUGCGCUCUCUCCCCACUCGCUCAAAAAGCCCAACACAGCGCAGAUAUCAGAUACUGUGUUUUCUACUCGAUAUGUUCAUCUCUGCUUGCCAAAGCCCCUGGAAACCAUAUUAACGUCUGCGUUCCAUUAUUUAACCAAAAGGCCUCUUCGGUUGGAGAAUUUGUCCAACAUUUCCAUUAGCCGCUCUCACCUUCUCUCUCCUCUUCUCCACAGCUCUACGUUUCGCUCACACACAUCUUCAUUUUCAACCCCCCCCUCCCACACCCCUCUUUCCCCCUCCGGCGCUGCUAUUGUGUCGUAUCGGUUACAGCUGACCACCAGUCAGGUGGGUCUGCGGGACAUUUCAGAUCACGGAGGGGCAGCCAGCUCGCUCAGCGCCGGGAGCCUGCGCUCAGACUCCAGUCCCAGGCCCCGCUGAGGCCUUGUCCCGGGCAGGGCAGAGAGACACCUGGCCAAACCGCAGAAACACUUCCAGCUGCAGACUGCCUGAUGCUCGCCACGGAGAGAAUCCAGGCCAAAGGUGGAGGGGCUCACCGAGGAACUGCUGCGAUACCGGGGACGGCUUCCUGACCAACCAAACUCAUGCUCUUUGGCAGAGACUGGGAAACGGAGCCCAGCAAACUCUUGCUCCUCCAAGUGAAAGUGGGAGAGCACAAGUGGCGAAAAAAAAGAGAAAAAAAAGAAGAGGCAGAGUGAACAACAGCUCCCUUUUCUCUCCGACUAGUUGACUUGAAAGGCCACAUUAUGUCUGAGAUUAGAGGCAAUUACACUGGGAGUGCGCCUUAAGACCUUUGUUUGCCAACAUGACAGGAGGGAGCAGGGCUGUAAUUUGAUGAGGAGGCAGCGCGAGUGAGAAACUCCGCACGUCGAGCUCCCAGUGGGGAGAGGCAGAGAGGAAGCCUUUGUCCGUUGCAUGGCGGGUUGGCCGAGUUAUGAAUGUUUAGAGGAACAAUUCCACCAGCAGCAGAUGUGUCUUUGUCCCGGAGUUCAGAUUUCUUUUGUGGCUACUGUUAAUGGCUGAAAAAAAAAAAUGAGUUUAAAGACUUUACGGCCUCAAAGGGAAAUACUUUCAUCUUCCGCUUGUUCCGGAUCUAUUGUUUCGGCAUUUCUAUCAAUUCCAAUUUCACAAUCGUGUGCCUUCAUUCAAAUGUCACAAAUCCUGUAAACAAAUGAUUCAGCCUGAACUCGCGGGUCAAACAAAAGCACCCUUGGCAUAUCUUCCAGACGAGACAUCUCCUUCAUUGUGGCCGGCUGCAUUGUUCUGAACACGCCGCGAGUUUUCAGGACAGGAAACAAGCAGCUUGUUCCAGCCCGACCGGCGGAACGGAGCACGUCUUUAUUUGAGGGAAGUCAUUCCGUUGAUAUAUAAAACACCAAAGCAAGGUUUCCUUCCCCCCGGCUUUCCUGGUGCUAUCCCCUUCAAAAGAACACAGCCCUUUAUACUGGGCUCACGUGCACACACGGGACCAGAAGAAAAACAAACACAGGCCAUUUAAAUAUCAAGCAAGCUGCCUCCUGUUUGAAUUGAGGAGCUACCGCUCGGCCCCGGCUCCUCCAGCCUUCAGUUACUCGCCUUCUGAGCCCAGUACAACGUAUUGGGGUGUUGAUUUCUGCAGGGUAGGCCAAUACAGUAUGUAGUUGUCUCUUAUUCGGUCUUUGAAGACCAACACAUUCAGCGAGUUUGACAAACGUCUUCCCGGUCAUCGAUGUAAGGAACCGAGAUUCAAGAUUCAAUUCAUUGUCGGUUUCUGGAAAAAACACUACAGUAACUUCAAUGCGAAGGUAGAGAGUCAAAGUACGUAAGGUUCGUAAAGUGCAGAAGUAAAUAAAUCCCGAUGAAUGAUUGCACAUGUAAAGAAUUUGUCAUGUCUGAUAUCUGAUGGGCAAAUAUGUAAAAAGAAAAAGAGAAACUCCGAUAGCAACAGCAGAACUAGUAUAAGCAGCCAGUGUUACAUGGAAACUAAGAUCUCCAGUUACCAAUCAUUGUCAGUAUCGCUAAAAACGUUUCUAACAAUCCCACUUUCACCAUCCGCCAUCUUGAUUUUUUCAACCAAAUGUUCCCGCGAGGGAGUGUGAAGGAGGAAGAGGACCACCUAUUAAAGUGAAAUCUUAGGAGUGAUGGAUGGGAGCUUGUUGAGGGGGAGCGGAGCAGCACACACCCCAGGGAGGUGGAUGAUGAACAAGGAAGGAUGGAGGGAGGGGUGAGCUCACCAAAUCCCCGCUCACACCUCUCGCUGCGGGCGGGUGGAGGGGAUGGAGACCUCCCAUGCUGUCUGCCUCAGAGAUUUGAUUGAUUCAAGCCUCCAAAGUACAUUCAACUUUUGUUUGCUUUCCUUGAAUCUUUUUCUUUCAUCUUAUUGGUUAUAAGUUAAUAUUCCUUCACCAGUUCAUUCUUUUAAUACUUUAAAUACUUCUUAGAUAUAAGCGAGCAAUACUUCACGGAGUGCUGACUGGAUUUGUUAACAAUGACCUGAAACACUUGAAGGCACUUCCCAAACUUAUUUCUCAACAUGGAGCCUUUCCAGCAACACUGUAAUGUUUUCGCUGUAAGCAAGGCCUCCUCAUAUUUCUCCAAAAAAUUGAAAUAUCCUGACAGUCGCAAUUAAUCAGCCAAGUCCUGAAGAGCUUUCAGUGUUUACAUAAUAGCUAUUGGCUACUGUCGGCCCCUCUGAUGGGCAGCCUCAAGCCGCUCGCAGCGGAGAUGAGGAACAGGCUAGCAGGGGCAAUUCUUUUCAGCUCCACACCUCCACUUUGUUUGGUGGGGGGGGCAUUUCAAUAUUGUACUACUCUCAGACGAAACAGACUCAGGUGACAUGACUUUGCGCCACCUCAUCUGGCAUAAAACUCUUUCUUAAAGAAGAGAGUUCCACAUCCAAAGUUUCCUUUGAAGGCUUUUGUGUAAUGUUGCUCCUGUGAAAACAAAUAUUGAUUGACCUUCGUGGGCCACGGAAAUAACAUAUUGGAAUUCCUAAAGGAGAAUAAAGUUGCAUUCAAUUUCUAAAUAGAAAUCACAAUAUACGAUGCUACAAAUAAAUCAUAACAUAUAUAUUUUUGUUUAUUUAUAGUACAUUUUUCACAAUAAAGUCACAAUGAGAAUCUUAAAAAAUCUCCCUUAAACCUUUCAAAACCACUACAAUGUGAGUUUAACACAUAAGUAGUAUAAUAACAGCAUAUUCUUGUACUGUAUGCUGUGCAUAUGGUUUAUUGAUCCACAUCUACCUUGCAUGGAUUUGGAAAAAUGUUUUGGAUAAUUCCAAACCGUAUGAUACUUAAUCUGUACAAAUGAUGGCAGUCUGUGCUGCAUGCAAUUGUAGGGCUGACAAAGAACUAUUUGUGCCCAAAAAAAUAUGUCAUAAGUCAUAUCAUCUAACUAAUAAACUGCGAGAUGCUAAAGGGAAUGCUAAAGUGUGUGCUUACUUUUAACGAGGAAAUCCUGUAGUCACAUUUGAGGACAAUAAAUUCAUGAAGAAGCAAAUGGAGGGGCUGUAGCCCUUGUGGUUUAGCGCCUGGUGUGGGGAGGAAUUACUGCUGUAGUAGUUUGCCUUUAACUGUCAGGAAAUGACCCAUAAUCUGCAAGCGUUUGACUGCUGCAGCAUUCCUGUGAAAUGACACAAGUUGAGCUAGAUUAGGGGCUGGGUAAUUAGCUCAUUAGUCAACAUAAACACAUGGCAGGACUCCCCCGUUCUACACCCUGCCCCCCUCCCGCCGCCCACAGCUGGUGGCGAAAGUAAAUUCUCACAAAUGUAUGCACAUGCAUACCUGAGCGAACACAUAUACAGACAUGCACGCUGCACCCAGACCACUUCAUCAAUCCAAUUCCUUUCUUCUGGACUUUGUUUUUCCUCCAUGGCUUUUUUUUUUCUGGCUUCAUCAUCUCUUCUAUUCUGCUUCGCUCCAGACAAGCCACUCUUUCAUAUUGUAGCCCUGGGGGCUGAGGGCCAGCCACUUUUCACCAGCACCUCGCGGCUUAUCAGAGCACUUUAUCAGCCUGAGGGAAAGAGAUGUGGGUUAAAGCUCUUCACUCCUCUCUGCUCUGAAAACCGGCAGGCUGUCGGCAAACAAGUAUUUGUAAGCUGGGGCUCAGAUAUGUGCGCCUUGCGACAAAGAGAAAAGCUUAAGGGGGUCAUGUGUUCCAGUGUGGGUUUAAGUGUGUCUGUGUGCACGGGAAGUACAGGACAUCCUUUGUGCGCAGAGGUAAGCCGGUCGCCACACAGCCUCGCUUGUUGCUGGUGGGACAGAUGCUUAACACUGGAACCUGGACAGCCCUUCACACCUCCUAAAUGCGGCAGGGGGCUAGAGCCUUUUCCUCCUCUCGCACCCCUCGAGGUCACCACACUGCUCUCUUUCAUCAAAGCAUCUCUAACCGUAUGAAACACUUCGCCAACUUGAUCAAGACGGUGUUGAAAACCUUUCGAAGUUUCACUUCCGCCACGUUGAUAGAACACUGCAGAAAGAGGGGGGAAAAAAAAUAAAAAAAUCAACCCAGUUUUAGCACCUUGAAUUGCGGGCACAAGCAACUUUUCAUGUUCAGAACAGGACCUGCAGUGUUUUUGCAUGGGAGCCAUUGGAAACAGAAAGCCUGGUUGGUGGUGCGUAAUGAUUGAUAUGAAUGGCCAUUUGUGCGGCUUUCCACUGUGAAGAACUGGCUGCGAGGCCAGGCCACUUGGGGAGCAGUGCACCUGGGUCACAUGAUGUUUGACAGAGGGGAGGUGGGACAAGCCGAGAGAGACGGGGCGGGAGGAGAGAGGGAGGAGAGAGGGAGGAAAUCGUUUUUCGAGCGAUCAAUCAUCUGCAGUUUGCUACCGAGACUAGUUGCUAGAUUGGAAGUUGUGUUUAGAUACAGCCACUUAAUCAGGAGACGACACAGCUGAUGGAUUCAUCCAUCAUCGCCUGGAGACACGGAACAUUGUUUGAUUGAAAGAGAGGAAAAAAACGAGAGCUCUCCUCACUGGUCGUCCUUUGAGUUGCAAUGUGUUAAAGUUGGACUGAUUCGGUUUGGCUUCGUGUGUGCGCGCUUGACAGAUUGUGCAACUUAAUAUAUUGCCUGAAGCAAUGACGCUAUGUUGGUUUUCAUAAAUCCCAUUCAUGGGUGGAAAGUUAACAUGCAAAGGCACAGUUCCUAGUUUACAUUGGCUCUGUAUCAUUACAUAGGGGAUGGGAGGACUGGAAAUACAAAAAUGUCCGUCAAAAUGUGCUUUUAUUUUAUCACUUAACAACUUUUGUUGUAGGUUUGAGUUUUAUUUCAGACCGUAUGUAUACCGUAAGCAUUUAUAUUCAUUGGUGUAGACACAAUGUAAUUCAUACAACAUAUCGAGACACACUGAGAUAAAUAUUUGUCACAAUACAUUUUUGGGAUAUUCAUAUUUUCAAAUAUGUACAGGCAAUCAAUAAAGAAAUGCAGAAAAACA